AUAAUCCUAAUUAAAGUUCUGUGAUGGGAUUAGUUUAGAUGUUAAAGAUCUAAGGCUUCAUGUAAAGUCAUGUUUACAAAAUCAUCAAUCAGAAGUUUUUUUUUUUCCAACUGCCUAUAUAAUUAAAUCAGUUCUGAUCGAAAGGGAAAUGAUUUCGAGGAACAACUACAUUCAACUAUGUCUAGUUUAUAUGAAAAAAUAAUAUGCGUCUGGUUAUAGAUUUUUUUAU
This 229-nucleotide long non-coding RNA is filed under the name Brassica napus (rape). Its description in RNAcentral is "long non-coding RNA (BNAP_LNC020141)". The record is from RNAcentral. Lineage: Eukaryota; Viridiplantae; Streptophyta; Magnoliopsida; Brassicales; Brassicaceae.